RNAcentral lists this long non-coding RNA (826 nucleotides) under Gallus gallus (chicken). RNAcentral describes it as "long non-coding RNA NONGGAT007975". Lineage: Eukaryota; Metazoa; Chordata; Aves; Galliformes; Phasianidae. The record is from RNAcentral.
GGCGCUCUGCAGCUCUGCUCGUGUGGCGGAUUGCGGCACCGCGCGCUGCCCGCCUGGUGCCUAAAAAUAAAGCGUGUCCUCGUGGUGUGAGUACCGAUAGGAGCGUAGGCCUCGCGUCCGCGCCGUGCGGAGCGGCGCUGCCCGCGGGAGCACCGCGGCAGGGGCUGUGCGGGGAGCCUGGCCUGCCCGCUGCGAGCCGGCCUGUCUGGGCGCGGCGUGCCGCCCUGUCAGAGCGCUGGGGCUCUUAGCUUUGCUCGUGCGGGUGCGUUGGGAGCAGCAGCACUGCUGUGGUCCUGUUUUCUGAAUGAACCGCACGUGCACCUGGCGUGCUUUUAUGAAAACAAGCACCUUUCUCCCAUAUUAGUGCUUCAUAUCCCCGGUGGAGGUGGGGGUAAGAAAGCAGCCAAAAAUCAUGUGUGCCAUCCAACGUUCCCUAAUCAUAAGUGGUGAGCAGUCAAAGGUGAAAAGGACAAGCAAGGACAGUAAGACUGGAGCACCUGUGGCAGCUGGAUUAGUUCCUGAAUUUCUCAACUGCUGCUCUGUUUCCUACCUCCACAGAAUUUCUGCUACAACAGCUCUUAUAAACAUUGCUGCUAAAACUUAAAACUUGUAGUUAGGUGCCUGCAUUUUGAUGCACGAAAUGCUUUUAGCUGUAUCUGAGUAUUUAAAAAUGAUAGUUUAGCAGAUAUUUUAAGGGGAAAAAAGUAUCUUUUUUAGUGUGCGAGCUGAUUUUUUUUUAACAAGCUGGAAAAGCUGGGAACUUGAACAGCAUGAUAAAAAAUAUGAAUCAAAUCAACUUCUAAAUCAUUUGCUCAAUCUACACUGU